GGCACGCUGGCCCGCGGCGUGAGGUCGUGACACUUCUCCCGCUCUGUCCUUAGCAGCGAGCGACACGAGGAGGCGAGCUCACGGAUCGCCUUUCACGUGGGAAUCGCAGCUCGGAGCAAUAUUGAAAACAAAUCCGGCCGGCGAGACUUUGUGGGAACAUUCAAUUUCUUUUAGUUUGUAGAUUGUAAAGACAUACCUCGAUGUCGGAUGGCUGCAGGGAACACGCGGUGUCUCAGAGAGCAGCCGAGGAGCCAAGCUCACAGCUGCCUUUUUUGACAUGACAGCUGCUGCAGGAUGACGAAUAAUCCAUUGAUGUCUCCGCAGCCGGGACAAGACACGGGUUGUUGGAGUUGAGAGCUGGAGAGAGAGCGAGAGUGAGACGCCUAAAAGAGAGCAGACUG
This is a long non-coding RNA of Nerophis ophidion (straightnose pipefish), 401 nucleotides long. RefSeq lists it as uncharacterized. The record is from RefSeq and is a predicted model, not a curated record. Lineage: Eukaryota; Metazoa; Chordata; Actinopteri; Syngnathiformes; Syngnathidae. The transcript is spliced from 3 exons.